UCAGCUCUAUCAAGACACGUAAUCUCCGAAGACUAGUUAGGGUCGACGAAUAUUAUACGUAUUGAUCGUGCCAACGAUCGGUCUUUAUCAAAUGGCCUUCACGUCGCCAUACGUUUAAGCUUCUAAUCCGUCCGUCCUAACGAGCAGCUUCUCGACCGUAUGGUGCAUUGCAUCAGUUGGCGUUUGACCGCGGACCGGUCAAGAUCCAAUGUGUUGCGCAGCCCAUCACAUGAAGGAGACGACUGUGUGUUACCCUCCCGAGAGAGUUGUAGAAGGAAGCUCAUGUCAAUCGGAUCUGAGCCUGCUAAUUUGUUGUUUCUUUUGUCCUAGUGAGGGAGGAUGAACAUGUAGUCUCUCUGCUUGCUAAGCCAAGGGAUACUGCUCAAGGCGUCGUCACUUUCGGUCACGAGCUGAAGGUGUUAUGAUAGUUCCACAAGUUGGAGGCACUUGAUCGUCUCACAUAUAUGGAUAGCUUUGGGCUUCCACUUGUUGGGAGUGGAUCUUUGCAAAGGACAAAUGAUUAGGCCGAGUCUUCGUCAUCUGCCAACAAAGAAAGUGUGCCAAGUGACUCAUUUCCUGUCAUCGUCGAUUCACCUUCCUUUACAAAAAGUCAUGGCGGCGGCUCUAAUUUUCGUCGUCAUGCCAUCCAUGGAAGUUUCAUAUAUAUAUAUAUCACCCCAAACCAAGCCCACGGAGUUUGCUCUUCACGCCACAUAAAUGACUACAAGCUCUAGAAAUCUGCCUAUGGCUUCGGUUUACUCAUCCCCUUCCUCCAGACCACCUCGCAGUACCUCUUCCUCUUCCCGGACCUGCCUUUGCGCUCCGACCACGCAUCCGGGGUCAUUCAGGUGCAACCUCCAUAGAAGCACUCGGAAGAUAUCGAGCCAGUCGACGGCUCAUUCUGUGAAGGAGCUGAAAGGAGCAGCGAAAGCGAAGGCGAGGUCAGUGAGGGCUGUGCUGUUAAAGAUCAUCAACCCCUCGAGUCACGACCUCCGGCGGCGAAGGAACUUCCAGCCCAAGCCCUCGAGGUUUCAGCUGAUGAAUGGAGAUGGGCGAGCACUGGAAGGUGUUCGAUCGUGAUCCUUUCGCAGCUGUUUUUUGAAGCCUUUGUUUUCUGAACAGGAAAGCGGUGAUGCUUUCAUGAAACAAUGUUGAGUUCAUGGAGGAUUGAGUCCUCUUUGUCUCCUUCUGUCAAAGCUCCUUAAAUAACGUGGGAUCAACUUGAUGCAAUCCUACUGAGGAGAGAUGGUGAAGAAACUAAUUGACUAUUGGCAGUGGUGAAAGCCUUUGGCUUCC
This is a long non-coding RNA of Musa acuminata AAA Group (dessert banana), 1296 nucleotides long. RefSeq lists it as uncharacterized. The transcript is spliced from 2 exons. Lineage: Eukaryota; Viridiplantae; Streptophyta; Magnoliopsida; Zingiberales; Musaceae. The record is from RefSeq and is a predicted model, not a curated record.